RNAcentral lists this transfer RNA (58 nucleotides) under Planorbarius corneus. Its description in RNAcentral is "tRNA-Cys". The record is from RNAcentral. Lineage: Eukaryota; Metazoa; Mollusca; Gastropoda; Planorbidae.
AAAACUAGUUUAUUUAAAACAUUUAGUUGCAAACUAAAAAAAAUACUUUUAUGUUUUU